GGAAGUAAAGUGUAACAGGGUCUCCGUUGGUGAACCAGCGGAGGGAUCAUUACAGAGUUAUCAAAACUCCCAAACCCAUGUGAACAUACCUCGCGUUGCCUCGGCAGGUGGCGUCUCGCCCCGUAAGAACCUACCCUGUAGGACCUUACCCGGUAGACGACCCUGCCGACGGCCCCCGAAACUCUGUUUUAUAGCAUUAAACUUCUGAAAAUAUAACUAAAUAAGUUAAAACUUUCAACAACGGAUCUCUUGGUUCUG
This 258-nucleotide unclassified non-coding RNA is filed under the name plant metagenome. RNAcentral's name for it is "partial contains small subunit ribosomal RNA, internal transcribed spacer 1, and 5.8S ribosomal RNA". The record is from RNAcentral.